CUUGGGGACUGUCUUGUUGGUUGAUGCUCCGAGUAAUGAUUAACAGGAACGGUUGGGGGUGUUUAUACUAUCAUGUUAGUGGUGAAAUACUUUGAUCAUGAUAAGAUAAACUGCUGCGAAGGCGUUCACCAGGGACGUUUUCAUUAAUCAAGAACGAGAGCUGCGGGAUCGAAGAGGAUUAGAUACCCUCGUAGUCGCAGCUGUAAACUAUACCGACUCGGGAUUGGUCAUUUGUCAUUUUUCGACAUGAUCAGCACCGUAUGAGAAAUCAAAGUCUUUGGGUUCCGGGGGGAGUAUGGUCGCAAGGCUGAAACUUAAAGGAAUUGACGGAAGGGCACCACCAGGAGUGGAGCCUGCGGCUUAAUUUGACUCAACACGGGGAAACUCACC
This 390-nucleotide ribosomal RNA is filed under the name Eukaryota sp. RNAcentral describes it as "SSU rRNA". It matches the Rfam family "Eukaryotic small subunit ribosomal RNA", at positions 828 to 1219 of the family's 1831-position model. The record is from RNAcentral.